AAUAAAAUAUUACAUCCGCCUAAAAUAUCACAUCCCCCAUUGAAAAAACGAAAGCGAGAUUGCGCGUUCAAGUCAUUGCACUUAGAAGUGUAUCAAAUACGUCCGAAACAUUCAAUUAUAAACAAUAUAAUUAAAACGCAACGAGAUUCAUAAAAACGUGUUUCUACUAAUAUACUAUAAAUGAAAUUAGCAUAAAAUGAUAUCAUUUAACAUUGAAGUAGUAUAAACAUUUUCAGUCCUCUAAAGAAUCUCACAAACCUCCUUUAUCUCUCUUUCUGUAUGCAUUAACUUCUUCAUGUGGAAAGACACGCACCAAUACUUCUCCAUUUGUAUAACUUUCAGCAAACUAAAACAAAAGUUUUUGAAUACCUUAUGCCGUCUUCGUAUUAAAUCAGUUUUAAUUGGCAAUUCAUCCAGUGAGAGUAGCCCAGCUGGCUACAGUACUUCGAUUCGAUUCUUCAAAGCAUCAAUAAAUGGAAUGGCAUUCAAUAUAUUGUUUUAUAUUUAGAAUUCAAAUUUUAUUUAAAUGAAGGCAAA
Long non-coding RNA from Hydra vulgaris (swiftwater hydra), 537 nucleotides. RefSeq lists it as uncharacterized. Lineage: Eukaryota; Metazoa; Cnidaria; Hydrozoa; Anthoathecata; Hydridae. The record is from RefSeq and is a predicted model, not a curated record.